RNAcentral lists this ribosomal RNA (403 nucleotides) under uncultured Acetobacterium sp. RNAcentral describes it as "bacterial SSU rRNA". It matches the Rfam family "Bacterial small subunit ribosomal RNA", at positions 356 to 774 of the family's 1533-position model. The record is from RNAcentral. Lineage: Bacteria; Bacillati; Bacillota; Clostridia; Eubacteriales; Eubacteriaceae.
GGGGAAUAUUGGACAAUGGGGUAAACCCUGACGCAGCAAUACCGCGUGAGUGAAGAAGGUUUUCGGAUCGUAAAGCUCUGUUAUUGGGGAAGAAAAAAAGACGGUACCCAAGAAGAAAGUCCCGGCUAACUACGUGCCAGCAGCCGCGGUAAUACGUAGGGGACAAGCGUUGUCCGGAUUUACUGGGCGUAAAGGGCACGCAGGCGGUUUUUUAAGUCAGAUGUGAAAGGUACCGGCUCAACCGGUGACAUGCAUUUGAAACUGAAAGACUUGAGUAUUGGAGAGGCAAGUGGAAUUCCUAGUGUAGCGGUGAAAUGCGUAGAUAUUAGGAGGAACACCGGUGGCGAAGGCGGCUUGCUGGACUGUGUCUGACACUGAGGCGCGAAAGCCAGGGGAGCGAACG